GCCCGGCUAGCUCAGUCGGUAGAGCAUGAGACUCUUAAUGUCAGGGUCGUGGGUUCGAGCCCCAAGUUGGGUG
Molecule: transfer RNA, 73 nt
Filed under: Danio rerio (zebrafish)
Lineage: Eukaryota; Metazoa; Chordata; Actinopteri; Cypriniformes; Danionidae
Rfam family: tRNA
About the family: Transfer RNA (tRNA) molecules are approximately 80 nucleotides in length. Their secondary structure includes four short double-helical elements and three loops (D, anti-codon, and T loops).
Source: Rfam by way of RNAcentral